RNAcentral lists this transfer RNA (87 nucleotides) under Rickettsiales bacterium. Its description in RNAcentral is "tRNA-Leu". It matches the Rfam family "tRNA". From Rfam's summary of the family: Transfer RNA (tRNA) molecules are approximately 80 nucleotides in length. Their secondary structure includes four short double-helical elements and three loops (D, anti-codon, and T loops). Further hydrogen bonds mediate the characteristic L-shaped molecular structure. tRNAs have two regions of fundamental functional importance: the anti-codon, which is responsible for specific mRNA codon recognition, and the 3' end, to which the tRNAs corresponding amino acid is attached (by aminoacyl-tRNA synthetases). tRNAs cope with the degeneracy of the genetic code in two manners: having more than one tRNA (with a specific anti-codon) for a particular amino acid; and 'wobble' base-pairing, i.e. permitting non-standard base-pairing at the 3rd anti-codon position. The record is from RNAcentral. Lineage: Bacteria; Pseudomonadati; Pseudomonadota; Alphaproteobacteria; Rickettsiales.
GGGAGUGUGGUGAAAUUGGUAGCCGCAGCAGACUCAAAAUCUGCCGUCCGCAAGGACAUGCCGGUUCGAGUCCGGCCACUCCCACCA